Molecule: unclassified non-coding RNA, 198 nt
Filed under: uncultured Helvellosebacina
Lineage: Eukaryota; Fungi; Basidiomycota; Agaricomycetes; Sebacinales; Sebacinaceae
Description: sequence contains ITS2
Source: RNAcentral
AUACUCUCACACUCUCUAAUUAGUUUUAGGGAGCGGUGGACUUGGGUGUUGCCUGGUAGUUUACUGUCAGGCUCAUCUCAAAUGCAUUAGUGCAAAGUCCUAGUUAAACAUAACAGCGUGACAAGUAACCCCCUUAUGCUGUUUUCUGUGUAAUUAGGGUGCUCUGUGCUUUUUAUUGUCUUAGGACAAUAUUUAGGA